This 499-nucleotide ribosomal RNA is filed under the name uncultured bacterium. RNAcentral describes it as "bacterial SSU rRNA". It matches the Rfam family "Bacterial small subunit ribosomal RNA", at positions 28 to 505 of the family's 1533-position model. The record is from RNAcentral.
GACGAACGCUGGCGGCGUGCCUAACACAUGCAAGUCAAGGAGAAUUCCCGACUUGUCGGGAUAGUAAACUGGCGAACGGGUGAGUAACACGUAGGUAAUCUACCCUCGGGAUCGGGAUAACCUCGCGAAAGUGGGGAUAAUACCGAAUAAAGUCUCGGUAUAAUUUGUCGAGAUGAAAGAUGGGGAUCUUCGGACCUAUUACCUGAGGAUGAGCCUGCGCCUGAUUAGCUAGUUGGUAGGGUAAAUGCCUACCAAGGCAACGAUCAGUAGCUGGUCUGAGAGGAUGAUCAGCCACAUUGGGACUGAGAUACGGCCCAGACUCCUACGGGAGGCAGCAGUGAGGAAUUUUGCGCAAUGGGCGAAAGCCUGACGCAGCAACGCCGCGUGACUGAUUAAGCUCUGAGGAGUGUAAAAGUCUGUCGUAGAGGAAGAAACUAUCCGAUAAGAAUAUUAGUCGGAUACUGACGGUACUCGUAUGAGAAAGCUCCGGCUAACUCCG